Molecule: microRNA precursor, 78 nt
Filed under: Schistosoma margrebowiei
Lineage: Eukaryota; Metazoa; Platyhelminthes; Trematoda; Strigeidida; Schistosomatidae
Description: mir-3492 microRNA precursor family
Rfam family: mir-3492 microRNA precursor family
Source: Rfam by way of RNAcentral
AGCAUUUCGAAUCGGUGCUGAGAUUUCGUCAAACAUCAACCCAUUAGGGGUGAUCAGACUUCCAAGACAAGUGAAGUU